CGACGACGCUGGCGGCGUCGCCUAAUACAUGCAAGUCGAGCGGACCGACGGGAGCUUGCUCCCUUAGGUCAGCGGCGGACGGGUGAGUAACACGUGGGUAACCUGCCUGUAAGACUGGGAUAACUCCGGGAAACCGGGGCUAAUACCGGAUGCUUGAUUGAACCGCAUGGUUCAAUCAUAAAAGGUGGCUUUUAGCUACCACUUACAGAUGGACCCGCGGCGCAUUAGCUAGUUGGUGAGGUAACGGCUCACCAAGGCGACGAUGCGUAGCCGACCUGAGAGGGUGAUCGGCCACACUGGGACUGAGACACGGCCCAGACUCCUACGGGAGGCAGCAGUAGGGAAUCUUCCGCAAUGGACGAAAGUCUGACGGAGCAACGCCGCGUGAGUGAUGAAGGUUUUCGGAUCGUAAAACUCUGUUGUUAGGGAAGAACAAGUACCGUUCGAAUAGGGCGGCACCUUGACGGA
This 468-nucleotide ribosomal RNA is filed under the name Bacillus licheniformis. RNAcentral describes it as "bacterial SSU rRNA". It matches the Rfam family "Bacterial small subunit ribosomal RNA", at positions 33 to 487 of the family's 1533-position model. Lineage: Bacteria; Bacillati; Bacillota; Bacilli; Caryophanales; Bacillaceae. The record is from RNAcentral.